AUGCACUGAUUUCCCCGGGCUGAAGCCAAGGGGCCCCUGAUUUUGAUUAGGGUUCAUAGCUGUCAAUCACAGAUAGCUUAGCUUCGUGUAGGGACUGUGUACUCUCUUUCUCUGUCGGCUGAGGUUUUUUUUCUUCUACUCCUCCAACCCAGGUCACCGGUGUGAGAGGCAAGCGUCCCGAGGACUGCGCUAAAAGCGCAGGCAAUCUCCUGGACCGCCAGCACGAUUCUUGAAGUUGACUGGCCUCUGUUACACUCCCACAGACUCUCCCUGUUGCAAAUGGAGUGUCCAAGUGAGGGAUGCAUUGCCAAAAGUCAGCCAAUGUGGCCCUCGCUGCUAAGAAAGACGGAUAAGUCCGCCGUGAAAUGUGUCACCGGCGCGGACUCAUCUAUAAACCACGGGGGAAAAAAACUCAGGAAAGUGGAGUUUAAGUGGAGGACCGUAAAGAAAUGACUGAAGGCGAGGUGGAAAUCUCCAAGGACAAGGUUGAGGUGAUUGUCAGCUGAUUUCCAUGAGAAUCUACGCUGCUGGAGAGAGGUGAAGUGCAUGCUGGGAUGGGAAGGAGUAGUGAUUGACGUUCAUGAUACUAGCAUUGAUUCUCAUAACAAAUCAUCAAUAUUUUAAUCAUGACUUCAGGGAGCUAUAUUUUAUGUAUUGAGAUUUGUUUCAUUGGUUCUUCAACCUUUAUUAACACAUUGGGCCAUUUUGUGCUGUUCAGUUUUUUUUAUUUGUGUUCCUUAAUUAGCCUGAAAUAGCAACAUGACAAAUGUGUUCCUCACGACCGAAAACGUCUUUUUGAAAUUGCCAUUUUUGAUCCCACAUUUAUCAUA
Long non-coding RNA from Nerophis lumbriciformis (worm pipefish), 830 nucleotides. RefSeq lists it as uncharacterized. The record is from RefSeq and is a predicted model, not a curated record. NCBI's taxonomy places the organism in Eukaryota, Metazoa, Chordata, Actinopteri, Syngnathiformes, Syngnathidae.